UUAAAUAUGAAUGAAACAUGUCUUAAAUAUGUACUAAACAUGACUUAUUGUGUCAAACUACUUGUGGCUAAGCACCUAAUGCUAUGCUAAUAGUGAAUUGGUGCUUUGUCUAUAUUCACUGAUUAGGUGAACUUUUCAUUAUGGUUUGACCAAAACGCCAAACUGCUUAUUCUCAGCCUUUUGCAUGUGGACUGGAAGAUAGCUGGUAUAUCAUGUAAGAGAGAGCAUUUGCCAUGUUUCCUUUCAUUUUAGUUCUGGAUUUUCUCUGAAUUAGCUUGAGUAUAAUGGCACAUGGGAAUUACAAACUUAAACAUAGUUAAAAAAAAGAAUAUAUGGGACCUAAGUUAAUAUUUCUCUAAAUAUUGGAAGUACUUGUAUUGAACUUUAUUAAGUCAAAUGUUCUCUUGGAGAUGUGUCUAGAAUAUAACACUGAUGUGAUCUGCCAAAAAUGCUGCAAAAUUUGAGAAACUGCAGAUUUGAGAAACCAAGUUCAAAUUGGUAUUUACUUUUUCUUAAAUUACACACACACACACACAC
This is a long non-coding RNA of Perognathus longimembris pacificus (Pacific pocket mouse), 537 nucleotides long. RefSeq lists it as uncharacterized. Lineage: Eukaryota; Metazoa; Chordata; Mammalia; Rodentia; Heteromyidae. The transcript is spliced from 3 exons. The record is from RefSeq and is a predicted model, not a curated record.